RNAcentral lists this ribosomal RNA (212 nucleotides) under uncultured Staphylococcus sp. RNAcentral describes it as "partial 16S ribosomal RNA". It matches the Rfam family "Bacterial small subunit ribosomal RNA", at positions 150 to 356 of the family's 1533-position model. The record is from RNAcentral. Lineage: Bacteria; Bacillati; Bacillota; Bacilli; Caryophanales; Staphylococcaceae.
CGGGAAACCGGAGCUAAUACCGGAUAAUAUUUCGAACCGCAUGGUUCGAUAGUGAAAGAUGGUUUUGCUAUCACUUAUAGAUGGACCUGCGCCGUAUUAGCUAGUUGGUAAGGUAACGGCUUACCAAGGCGACGAUACGUAGCCGACCUGAGAGGGUGAUCGGCCACACUGGAACUGAGACACGGUCCAGACUCCUACGGGAGGCAGCAGUG